RNAcentral lists this ribosomal RNA (264 nucleotides) under uncultured archaeon. Its description in RNAcentral is "partial 16S ribosomal RNA". It matches the Rfam family "Archaeal small subunit ribosomal RNA", at positions 719 to 982 of the family's 1478-position model. The record is from RNAcentral.
ACACGUCUACAUUAGAUACCCGCGUAGUCCCAGCCGUAAACUAUGCGCGUUAGGUGUAUCGGUGACCACGAGUCACCGAGGUGCCGAAGGGAAACCGUGAAACGUGCCGCCUGGGAAGUACGGUCGCAAGGCUGAAACUUAAAGGAAUUGGCGGGGAGCACCACAACGGGUGGAGCCUGCGGUUUAAUUGGACUCAACGCCGGGAAGCUCACCGGAUAAGACAGCGGAAUGAUUGCCGGGCUGAAGACUCUGCAUGACUAGCUG